This 299-nucleotide unclassified non-coding RNA is filed under the name uncultured Phellodon. RNAcentral describes it as "sequence contains ITS2". The stretch from base 1 to 52 matches the Rfam family "5.8S ribosomal RNA", at positions 103 to 154 of the family's 154-position model. The record is from RNAcentral. Lineage: Eukaryota; Fungi; Basidiomycota; Agaricomycetes; Thelephorales; Thelephoraceae.
AACGCACCUUGCGCUCCUUGGUAUUCCGAGGAGCAUGCCUGUUUGAGUGUCAUGAAAUUCUCAACUGCCUUUAUGGUGAAGUUGGAUUUGGAGGAUCUUGCUGGCGCUCUUCAAUGAGCUUCGUCGGCUCCUCUCGAAUGCAUGAGCCUUCCUGUGCAACAUUGUGAAGCGACUCUGAUGUGAUAAUUAUCUACGUUGGACGUCGUGUUUGCUUUGGGCACGAACGGAUUGUAAAAACGCAGAUAUGCGUCCUUGACAAAUUCGACCUCAAAUCAGGUAGGACUACCCGCUGAACUUAA